UACGUAGGGGGCAAGCGUUGUCCGGAUUUACUGGGCGUAAAGAGCGCGUAGGCGGAGAUCUAAGCGUGGCCUGAAAGCCCCCGGCUCAACCGGGGAGUGCGGCUGCGAACUGGGUUUCUUGAGGACGAUAGAGGAGAGUGGAAUUCCUGGUGUAGCGGUGGAAUGCGCAGAUAUCAGGAGGAACACCGGUGGCGAAGGCGGAUCUCUGGGCCUUAACUGACGCUCAGGUGCGAAAGCUAGGGGAGCGAACAGG
This 253-nucleotide ribosomal RNA is filed under the name uncultured bacterium. Its description in RNAcentral is "partial 16S ribosomal RNA". It matches the Rfam family "Bacterial small subunit ribosomal RNA", at positions 524 to 776 of the family's 1533-position model. The record is from RNAcentral.